This 1904-nucleotide ribosomal RNA is filed under the name human gut metagenome. RNAcentral's name for it is "bacterial LSU rRNA". It matches the Rfam family "Bacterial large subunit ribosomal RNA", at positions 913 to 2841 of the family's 2925-position model. The record is from RNAcentral.
AAUUUCCGCGGGGGCGUCAAAGCUUACCAAAGAAUAUCAAACUCCGAAUGCCAUGUAGAUGAUGAACGGGAGUCAGACUGCACGAGAUAAGUUGGGCAGUCAAAAGGGAAAGAGCCCAGACCGCCAGCCAAGGUCCCAAAGUGUGUGUUAAGUGGAAAAGGAUGUGGGAUCUCCAAGACAACUAGGAUGUUGGCUCAGAAGCAGCCACACAUUCAAAGAGUGCGUAACAGCUCACUAGUCGAGAGGUCCUGCGCCGAAAAUGUCCGGGGCUGAAACACAACACCGAAGCUGCGGAAUUGCGAAUGCAAUUGGUAGAGGAGCAUUCUUAAUGCCGACGAAGCUGUACCGGAAGGAGCAGUGGAGGGAUAAGAAGAGAGAAUGCCGGAAUGAGUAGCGAGAGAGAGGUGGGAAUCCUCUCGGCCGAAUAUCCAAGGUUUCCAGAGUAAAGCUGAUCUGCUCUGGGUAAGUCGGGGCCUAAGGCGAGGUCAAGAGACGUAGCCGAUGGACAACAGGUUUAGAUUCCUGUACCGCAUAUAAACAGAACUGUGGGGACGCAUGGGGAGAGCAUGGGCCGGGAAUGGAAAUACCGGUGCAAGCGAAGGAGGUGUGCAGCCGGCAAAUCCGCUGCAUGAGCCGAAAGCGUGACGCGGAGCGAAAUGAAAGUAGCGAAGCAUGUGAGCCCUGUGCCGAGAAAAGCCGCUAUUGUUUUAUAUGUGCCCGUACCGUAAACCGACACAGGUGGAUGAGGAGAGAAUCCUAAGGCCGGCGGAAGAAGUAUUGUUAAGGAACUCGGCAAAAUGACCCCGUAACUUCGGGAGAAGGGGUGCCCAUGAAAGUGGGCCGCAGAGAAUAGGCUCAAGCAACUGUUUAGCAAAAACACAGGUCUAUGCGAAACCGAAAGGUGAAGUAUAUGGGCUGACGCCUGCCCGGUGCUGGAAGGUUAAGAGGAGAGGUUAGCGCAAGCGAAGCUUUGAAUUUAAGCCCCAGUAAACGGCGGCCGUAACUAUAACGGUCCUAAGGUAGCGAAAUUCCUUGUCGGGUAAGUUCCGACCCGCACGAAAGGCGUAAUGAUUUGAGCACUGUCUCGACAAUGCAUCCGGUGAAAUUGAAGUACCAGUGAAGAUGCUGGUUACCCGCGCCAGGACGGAAAGACCCCAUGGAGCUUUACUCCAGCUUGAUACUGGGAUUCGGUACUGCAUGUACAGGAUAGGUGGGAGACUGUGAAUCUGUGACGCCAGUUGCAGAGGAGUCAAUGUUGGGAUACCACCCUUGUAGUAUUGGAUUUCUAACCAUCAGCCGUGAACCGGCUGGGGGACAAUGUCAGGCGGGGAGUUUGACUGGGGCGGUCGCCUCCGAAAGGGUAUCGGAGGCGCUCAAAGGUUCCCUCAGAAUGGUUGGAAACCAUUCGAAGAGUGCAAAGGCAGAAGGGAGCUUGACUGCGACACCGACGGGUGGAGCAGGUACGAAAGUAGGACUUAGUGAUCCGGUGGUAUAAAGUGGGAUUGCCAUCGCUCAACGGAUAAAAGCUACCCUGGGGAUAACAGGCUUAUCACUCCCAAGAGUUCACAUCGACGGAGUGGUUUGGCACCUCGAUGUCGGCUCAUCGCAUCCUGGGGCUGUAGCAGGUCCCAAGGGUUGGGCUGUUCGCCCAUUAAAGCGGUACGCGAGCUGGGUUCAGAACGUCGUGAGACAGUUCGGUCCCUAUCCGGCGCGGGCGGAGGAUAUUUGAGAGGAGCUGUCCUUAGUACGAGAGGACCGGGAUGGACGGACCACUGGUGUAUCUGUUGUCGACCAACGGCAUGGCAGAGUAGCCAAGUCUGGAAGGGAUAAACGCUGAAGGCAUCUAAGCGUGAAGCCCCCCUCAAGAUGAGAUAUCCCUCACAUAAGUGAGUAAGAUCCCUUGA